RNAcentral lists this ribosomal RNA (261 nucleotides) under uncultured archaeon. RNAcentral's name for it is "partial 16S ribosomal RNA". It matches the Rfam family "Archaeal small subunit ribosomal RNA", at positions 748 to 1009 of the family's 1478-position model. The record is from RNAcentral.
CAGCCGUAAACUAUGCGCGUUAGGUGUACUGGUGACCACGAGUCACCGGGGUGCCGAAGGGAAACCGUGAAACGUGCCGCCUGGGAAGUACGGUCGCAAGGCUGAAACUUAAAGGAAUUGGUGGGGGAGCACCACAACGGGUGGAGCCUGCGGUUUAAUUGGACUCAACGCCGGAAAUCUCACCGGAUAGGACAGACAUAUGAUAGUCGGGCUGAAGACUCUACUUGAUGAUCUGAGAGGAGGUGCAUGGCGUAGACGUCU